ACCGACGGGAGCUUGCUCCCUUAGGUCAGCGGCGGACGGGUGAGUAACACGUGGGUAACCUGCCUGUAAGACUGGGAUAACUCCGGGAAACCGGGGCUAAUACCGGAUGCUUGAUUGAACCGCAUGGUUCAAUUAUAAAAGGUGGCUUUUACCUACCACUUACAGAUGGACCCGCGGCGCAUUACCUAGUUGGUGAGGUAACGGCUCACCAAGGCAACGAUGCGUAGCCGACCUGAAAGGGUGAUCGGCCACACUGGGACUGAAACACGGCCCAAACUCCUACGGGAGGCAGCAGUAGGGAAUCUUCCGCAAUGGACAAAAGUCUGACGGAGCAACGCCGCGUGAGUGAUGAAGGUUUUCGGAUCGUAAAACUCUGUUGUUAGGGAAAAACAAGUACCGUUCGAAUAGGGCGGUACCUUGACGGUACCUAACCAAAAAGCCACGGCUAACUACGUGCCAGCAGCCGCGGUAAUACGUAGGUGGCAAGCGUUGUCCGGAAUUAUUGGGCGUAAAGCGCGCGCAGGCGGUUUCUUAAGUCUGAUGUGAAAGCCCCCGGCUCAACCGGGGAGGGUCAUUGGAAACUGGGGAACUUGAGUGCAAAAAAGGAGAGUGGAAUUCCACGUGUAGCGGUGAAAUGCGUAAAGAUGUGGAGGAACACCAGUGGCGAAGGCGACUCUCUGGUCUGUAACUGACGCUGAGGCGCGAAAGCGUGGGGAGCGAACAGGAUUAGAUACCCUGGUAGUCCACGCCGUAAACGAUGAGUGCUAAGUGUUAGAGGGUUUCCGCCCUUUAGUGCUGCAGCAAACGCAUUAAGCACUCCGCCUGGGGGAGUACGGUCGCAAGACUGAAACUCAAAGGAAUUGACGGGGGCCCGCACAAGC
Molecule: ribosomal RNA, 881 nt
Filed under: Bacillus haynesii
Lineage: Bacteria; Bacillati; Bacillota; Bacilli; Caryophanales; Bacillaceae
Description: bacterial SSU rRNA
Rfam family: Bacterial small subunit ribosomal RNA
Source: RNAcentral